UACGGAGGGUGCAAGCGUUAUCCGGAUUCCCUGGGUUUAAAGGGUGCGUAGGUGGGUAGGUAAGUCAGUGGUGAAAUCUCCAAGCUUAACUUGGAAACUGCCAUUGAUACUAUUUAUCUUGAAUUUUCUGGAGGUGAGCGGAAUAUGUCAUGUAGCGGUGAAAUGCUUAGAUAUGACAUAGAACACCAAUUGCGAAGGCAGCUCACUACGGGAAUAUUGACACUGAGGCACGAAAGCGUGGGGAUCAAACAGG
RNAcentral lists this ribosomal RNA (253 nucleotides) under uncultured bacterium. RNAcentral describes it as "partial 16S ribosomal RNA". It matches the Rfam family "Bacterial small subunit ribosomal RNA", at positions 524 to 776 of the family's 1533-position model. The record is from RNAcentral.